GUUGGUGUUGUGUACUCAGGUGAAUAAUAUGUUUGCGACGUUACUCUGAGCGCAUAUCCACACCGGGCGAGCUUGAAAAAUAUGCCCGGCCACGGUGGGAUUCGAACCUACGACCUUUGGAAUACUAGCCCAAUGCUCUUCCAACUGAGCUACGCGGUCACGACGGUUCGAGUAAGUGAUAUUUCGGAACAGUAUCUAGUUCCUUCAAUACCAAUGUGUUCUAGUAAUAUGAAUUUUUUCUGUGUUGGUGUUGUGUACUCAGGUGAAUAAGAUGUUUGCGAUGUUACUCUGAGUGCAUAUCCACACCGGGCGAGCUUGAAAAAUAUGCCCAGCCACGGUGGGAUUCGAAC
This is a non-coding RNA of Paramuricea clavata, 350 nucleotides long. The record is from the annotation of a GenBank genome assembly. Lineage: Eukaryota; Metazoa; Cnidaria; Anthozoa; Malacalcyonacea; Plexauridae.